GGCCGUGUGGCGUAAUGGCAACGCGUCUGACUACGAACAGUGAAUCAGGAGAUUGCAGGUUCGACCCCUGUCUCGGUCA
Molecule: transfer RNA, 79 nt
Filed under: Armillaria gallica
Lineage: Eukaryota; Fungi; Basidiomycota; Agaricomycetes; Agaricales; Physalacriaceae
Rfam family: tRNA
About the family: Transfer RNA (tRNA) molecules are approximately 80 nucleotides in length.
Source: Rfam by way of RNAcentral